RNAcentral lists this transfer RNA (73 nucleotides) under Richelia sp. RM2_1_2. RNAcentral's name for it is "tRNA-His". It matches the Rfam family "tRNA". From Rfam's summary of the family: Transfer RNA (tRNA) molecules are approximately 80 nucleotides in length. Their secondary structure includes four short double-helical elements and three loops (D, anti-codon, and T loops). Lineage: Bacteria; Bacillati; Cyanobacteriota; Cyanophyceae; Nostocales; Nostocaceae. The record is from RNAcentral.
GUAAGUGUAGCUUAAUUGGUAGAGCGAAGGUUUGUGGUGCCUUUGGUUGUGGGUUCGAGUCCCAUCACUUACC